CCCGCCGUCCAGAUGCGAUUGUUCGACUCGAAGUGGCGCAUCAGCCCGCACUCGUCCAGGUCCGCGUCCGGGAUGCCGUAGUUGCCGAUCAGCGGUUCCUCGUGUCUCGGGAUAAAGUGCUUUGAAGAUGGCAUCUCGGGCACACACACACACACAAACACGCACAAGCCUGAUUUAUCGCGUUUGCUCAAGCAUAACCGGCAUGGACUCGAUUCUCGCUCCACAUCUUUCGGACAAACGCAAACGGGUUCGAAAAAAAAAACAAAAACCAAACUACACCAGCAAUGGAGAGUUACUUUUCAAAAUGCUUACGGAAUGAAUCCUUCAACCGAUUUGCUGAUUCCCCUUUAAAUCCUUUAACGUUUUUAACUACGCUUCCAGUAGGAUGGCGCACGUGUAAAUGAUCGUCAACACUUUUCUAACCUCAACCGCAGCGAUUGUUUGUUUGCUGUUGAUUUUUUUUUCUUUUCUGUUUCUCUCUCGUCAAUCACACACAUGUGCGUUUUCGGUAAAUCAUGCACCGUGCGUAGGAAAGAGACAGGAUCACAUCUGUCCACAUCUGAAAGUGGAUUUGAUUGUGGCUGUGAUACCCCAUACAUUGCGACGCUUAUUGUUACUGCUCUAGCUAGACAAAAACCGGUUUGCUUUGUUUGUGGGCAACAUGGUCGAUAUCAAGGGCAGUGUAGGAACGAGGUCAAGUAAUGUAUAACGAUUUGACAAGUAGUCAAAAGUUCUUAAUAGGCAGUUUGACAUCUAAGAACCCUUUACGAUUCAAAGUUUAAUUCUGAUAAAAAUGUCAAAUCGGUCUGAUCACCAGAAGAAAAUUGUAAAUUGAUUAUUGAAUGUUUCACCAAAUGUAUUGAUGUCUGUUUUAAUAAAAAUGGUUUACGGCAGGGGUCUCCAAACUACGGCCCGCGGGCCGCAUGCGACCGAGGCGACUUUUUAAAGGUUUAAAUUAAUAGUUAAUUAUUGACUAUUUUUAAAGAAAAUGUAAUUGCUGCUUUUGAGAGACGUAGACAAAGCUUAAAUAAUAGAAAGCUGUAGAAGUUUUGUAUGUUAUGUUAGCAUUUUCUUAAAUAGACGAAAAUUAAACGUCCGCAUUAAAUACAAACAACGGAAAAAUGGCCCUCAACACCAUUAUAUGUGAGGCAAUGCGGCAACCGCGAACUGAAAAGUUUGGAGACCCCUGGUUUAAGGGUUUGAUGAGUUUUCAAGGGCGUUCUGCUGUCAAAUGGCAUCCAAGAUGGCCAAACCAAUUUUGGCUAAUACUUGACCUGGUUCCUAAACAGUCCUUGGUCGAUAUGAUAUAUGAAGCUAAGGUCCAGAGGCACCUAACACAUGCGUGGAUACGCAACGACGCACACAACGUCAGCAUCUGCUUUUGAUAGGGGUUCCGCUAGUGAUGGGACACUACGGGCUGGUGGAAUUUCGGUGAUAUUCGUGGAACUUUUCCGUUCGGGUAUUUGCUGUCAAUUUGGGUAAUUUUUUUUUUUUUUACGCUCUUUCGGUUCUGCUCAAGCACGCACGUGGUUUGGUGCUGGAUGGGCUGGAAACCACUGGCCACAUUAAACUGGCUACAUGUAGCCCUUCCAUUUCAUGUGCAGCUCAGCACAAUCUCGACCAUGUGGUUGCAAUGAAACAAGCUUGUAAUCAAAAUUUGCCAUCACGACCGCAUCUUCUUCGGUUCCCUUCUGCUAUGAUUUAAAAAAAUCAUAAAGCCACGAUUUACGUGCUACUUUUACGAUCUGUGAGGUGGUUAACAUGCCACAAUGCCAAAGCGCGCCAUAAAAUCCGGUUUCUACCACCGAUGGUCCUUGUCAAGCAGUUGCCUGACGACAAACACCAUGAGUGUUGUGUGCAAUACAAUACAAAACCUGUCAAUGUUUUACUUUGUAACACACUUUGGAUUGCAAACUAUAGCUUCAAUGUGUUUACAGUGGCAAUGCCUUAUCUCGUGGAUCAGCUACUGGUCAACAGGUCAACAGGCGCUACUGACCAGCGUGCGGGAUGAGAGCAGGAGCAAAGGUGACCGUUGCUGCAGUCCGUCUAUUGUUGCAGUUGGUCGUCGUUAAGAUUUGAACGCAUUUUGACAACUCCGUGCGACGUAUCGCUGAUGCGCAAAACAGACCGCGUGGUCAGUUUGUUUAUACAGCCUGCUUAAGCGAUAUACGCCACAAUGUAAGCGGACGGCACAGCUUGUACAUUUGCAUUAGCUGGGUAUAGACAUGUUAACCAAUUACUUGCACAAAUAUUCAACACGAUUUAUGCACAAAAUUAGGAUAGCAUGUAUGUUUGCACAAUUGCAGGAAACAUGCAAUUAGUUUUGCACUUUACAUGAGCGGCAAAAUUUUGCGGUGUAUCUAGGGCCGAUUGCAUUGUUUCAAUGUUUAACGAAACUUUUAUUUUGUGGCUCGUACACAGUAUGCCAGUGUUCGGGUUGAUGGUGCCACGGGUCUUGAUUGCAGAAUGUUUGCUAUGGUUUUUGAUUGGUGAGGAAGCUGCAAUCGAAAGCGUUAGCGUUUAAUCGUUUGCCCUGCACAUGUCUUUAAAGAGCCUGCCUUUAAAAAUCACCGAGCAAACUGGAGUGCUCUCGGAAUGAUCUGUGCUGGUACACGCCCAACACAAUAAUGAUCCAGGAUUUUACAUAUUCCGAGCGCGUGAGCGCUCAUUCCUUGUAUAGGUCAGGAGUCUCUUAGCUACGGCCCGCGUUGUUUGUGAGCAAUGCGGCCCGUGAGCUGAAAAGUCUGGAGAACCCUGCCAUACUGAGCAACACUCAUGCGAGAUACGGCAUCACACACUGAAGCUCAUCUCACUAAUCAAAACUCAUCUUAAAGAUGAGAGAAGUUUGCAGUCUGUUCUGCCGCGACAAGGUGGAUGCCUUUUCAUUUCUAUUAAAAUUUUAUUAGGAUAUUUACUCCGUGCUCCGUUCUAUUCUGCCAAAAUCGUCUGUCAUUAAACCCUUUAUCUACGCACACGCUCCAUACACAGCCUUUGAUCGCCUUUGUCUUCUUCUUCUAUUUGGCGCGUAACGACAUACGCGGUCAUUCAUGCCGGCCUAUACUACAAAAUACAUUCAAGACUUAAUACUUUCAAGUUACAGGGUUCGAACCCACGACGGGCAUGUUGCUAGGUCGUGCGUGUUGACGACUGUACCACGGGACCGCUCUCUUUGUUUAGACGUUAGUAUUAAUUACGCUUACGGAUACCAAACGCUUCCACUGGAUGCAACGUUACACGGGUGUAUCUGCCACACUAGCACUCGUGCGCAACCGUUUCACGAAACUCUUAUUAAAACACGCUAUUCAACCCCUUCCCACACCACGCAAAGAACUGUAAUAGAUGUGCUGUAUCGAAUAAACCAUAAAGUCACUACUUCAACCAGA
Anopheles coluzzii is the source of this 3383-nucleotide long non-coding RNA. RefSeq lists it as uncharacterized. The record is from RefSeq and is a predicted model, not a curated record. The transcript is spliced from 2 exons. Lineage: Eukaryota; Metazoa; Arthropoda; Insecta; Diptera; Culicidae.